AACAAUAAAGACGAUUCUUCCAUUGUAAGAUCGUUUAUUUCGGAAUUUAUAGUUUAGAAUGUCGUAGGUCCGUUAAAUUUCGAGUGGAAUAAUUUCGUACAGUAGUCUAGUGCCUGAGAGCUUAAAUCCAAGAAUUGUUAAUAUAGUUACGACAUUUAUUAUUACAGGAUUGCUAGUUAUUUAGCAACAGAUAUACCACAAAUUACACACUCCAUCUGUCCUAGUUUGGAGUGCAAUAAGCUGUCCUCGGCGCCAGGUAGGUAUUAAUCCAUCAAUCGGCACAAAUUUUAGACCCGGAAAGUGGUGGAUGGACAAGAUAGACGAUGACCUAAGAAACAAGACUGACGAAGUAGCAAUGGUGUUUACAGAGGAGUGGCGAAAAAAUAGAAAAACGUCGAGGUCGUUAAUCCACGACCCAACCCAGGCUUCACUAUAUUAUUAAGGACGAAGAAUUUGUUCGUUGCAUCCAAUUGUUUACAUAUCACGCUUCGUUACCGUAAACGACACCGUCACAUAACACCCGAAAUCUUCCCGAAAUCAAACCCCUACAAGAUCCUCGUUUUGGAAAGUGGAAACGUCACUCGAUAUUUUCGAGUGAGCUCUGGUACACUGGAUGUACAGUACAUACACUAGAGUUGUCUUAAUCUUCUCUGUGGAACUUUGUCAACACAGAGGGUAAAGAACUGACGGAUGAUUCCUUUAAUCUAAUUUUAUGGUAAACAAGAAAGCCGCUCGUCUUAUUUUAAAAAAAAAAAAUGUUCUUCGUAAAUAAAA
Centruroides sculpturatus (bark scorpion) is the source of this 774-nucleotide long non-coding RNA. RefSeq lists it as uncharacterized. The record is from RefSeq and is a predicted model, not a curated record. Lineage: Eukaryota; Metazoa; Arthropoda; Arachnida; Scorpiones; Buthidae. The transcript is spliced from 3 exons.